This 74-nucleotide transfer RNA is filed under the name Actinomycetota bacterium. RNAcentral describes it as "tRNA-Leu". It matches the Rfam family "tRNA". From Rfam's summary of the family: Transfer RNA (tRNA) molecules are approximately 80 nucleotides in length. Their secondary structure includes four short double-helical elements and three loops (D, anti-codon, and T loops). Lineage: Bacteria; Bacillati; Actinomycetota. The record is from RNAcentral.
GCCCCUGUAGUCCAACCGGCAGAGACACCGCGCUUAAACCGCGGCCAGUGUGGGUUCGAGUCCCACCGGGGGCA